Molecule: long non-coding RNA, 224 nt
Filed under: Marmota monax (woodchuck)
Lineage: Eukaryota; Metazoa; Chordata; Mammalia; Rodentia; Sciuridae
Source: RNAcentral
CUAUAGUACUUUUCCAUGCAGACUUGUGCACAUGUGAGAGGGUGUCCAGUUUGUCUAGUGAUUGUUCUUUAGAGAGUUGGACCACUAUUGUGUGUUGCUAAUCAUUGACUGUAGUCCCAAAAUAGCCUUGUGAAAAUGUUAUGCCCUAUGUAACAGCAGAGUAACAUAAAAUAAAAUUACAUUUUAUUAAAAAAAAAGAGAGAGAGAAGAGCAUGUGUAUAUGU